Molecule: microRNA precursor, 114 nt
Filed under: Loxodonta africana (African savanna elephant)
Lineage: Eukaryota; Metazoa; Chordata; Mammalia; Proboscidea; Elephantidae
Description: miRNA (ENSLAFG00000023552.1)
Source: RNAcentral
AAAAAUAUUGAUUCCAGAACCUUCUCUCAAACCCAAAGAACCAGAAAAUCUGCAAUGAAGUCCAAGAAUCUGCAUUUUAAACAAGUUAGCCAGGUGGUUCCCAGGUUUGGGAAC